AACUGAAAUCAAAACUUUUCACGAGUGAAAUCACCCGCUGAGUUUUCCAAAAAAAGGAAAAAAAAAAAAAAAAAAAGAGUUGGCAAGAAAAAGACAUUGUCUUUUAUGAAUAAACAAUCGUAUAGCUUUCCAUUACAAAUUGAUAUAAUAAUAGAAGUGAGCUUGUUGUUCAUAUUUAUCUGCACAAAGUGUAGUGAUAGUUCAUGAGAUGAUGAGUAUGGCGAUUUGCAGGGUGAGAGCAGCACUGCUUUCUCUUUCCAACCACAAAUCUUCUCUUAUAUCCUCUUCUUCUUCUUCUUCUUCUUCUUCUUCAAUACGCAGUUUUUCAUCAUCCCAGUUUGAGAGUGUUGGGUUCAUUGGGCUGGGAAAUAUGGGCUCCAGAAUGGUGAAUAAUCUUUUGAAGGCUGGAUACAAUGUGACUGUUCAUGACAUAAAUUGUAAUGCCAUGAAGAAGUUCUCUGAUAUGGGAGUUCCAACAAAAGAAACACCUUUUGAAGUUGCAGAAGCAAGUGAUGUUGUAAUAACAAUGUUGCCUUCUUCAUCUCAUGUAUUUGAUGUUUUCACUGGACCAAAAGGUUUGCUUCAAGGUGGCAAUCUCCUAAGACCAUGGUUAUUAAUAGAUUCAUCUACUAUUGAUCCACAAACAUCGAGAAAGCUUUCUGUGACUGUAUCUAAAUGUAAUUUAAAGGGAAAGAAAGACAAUUUGGUAAUUCCUGUCAUGUUGGAUGCUCCAGUAUCUGGGGGUGUUCUUGCUGCAGAAGCUGGCACACUUACUUUCAUGGUUGGUGGAUCCGAGGAAGCUUUUCUGGCUGCAAAACCCUUAUUCCUUUCAAUGGGCCAAAACACAAUAUAUUGUGGGAAAGCAGGAAAUGGUUCAGCCGCAAAGAUCUGCAAUAAUUUGGCAAUGGCUAUUAGCAUGCUUGGUGUUUCAGAAGCCCUUGCUCUUGGUCAGUCUCUGGGAAUUUCUGCCAGUACUCUGACAAAAGUAUUCAACUCUUCAAGUGCUCGCUGUUGGAGUAGUGACAGCUAUAAUCCAGUUCCUGGAGUGAUGGAAGGAGCACCCUCUUCUAGGAAUUAUGACGGUGGGUUUGCAUCUAAGCUUAUGGCUAAAGACUUAAACCUUGCAGCAGAAUCAGCCAAAGACAUUGGUCAAAAAUGCCCAUUAACAUCCCAUGCUCUAGAGAUAUGUGGUUCUGUGUGGAGUACACAACUAUAAAGUUGGUUGUUUCCAUCUUUUUUCCUCCCUCAUUUUCAGUUGUUGUUCUGUGUGGAGUAAACAACUAUAAAGUUUAAGGUUGUUGAGUUGGUCGCUUGAAUAGUGCACAUGGAAGUGCACAAAGCACUAAGUCUUAGCUAUGUACAACAAAACCACUUUUUCCUACUGCUAAUAGAAUUGGGUAUCCUCCACGGAAAGCACAAACCAACUGCAGUCAACCAUAUAUAUCUGGCCAAAGAUAUACAGAGCUUUGCAAGGAUGGCAAUGAAACUAGGGACUUCUCCUGUGUUUUCCGUCAUUAUUACUCUGGCAUGGAUGAGUUAUAGUUCAACCAGUAAAUGAAAUGCUUGUAUUCAGCCAAAGAAAAAGGUUU
Molecule: RNA transcript, 1589 nt
Organism: Quercus robur (English oak)
Lineage: Eukaryota; Viridiplantae; Streptophyta; Magnoliopsida; Fagales; Fagaceae
Gene name: probable 3-hydroxyisobutyrate dehydrogenase, mitochondrial
Exons: 11
Source: RefSeq, a predicted model, not a curated record